GACGAACCGUCCAAACGUUGUUCGGAAUCACUGGGCUUAAAGGGCGCGUAGGCGGAUGCUCAAGUCGGUGGUGAAAUCUUUCGGCUCAACCGGAAAAGUGCCGCCGAUACUGGGGAUCUCGAGGGAGGUAGGGGUCGAGGGAACUUCCGGUGGAGCGGUGAAAUGUGUAGAUAUCGGAAGGAACGCCGGUGGCGAAAGCGCUCGACUGGACCUCUGCUGACGCUGAGGCGCGAAAGCCAGGGGAGCAAACGGG
RNAcentral lists this ribosomal RNA (253 nucleotides) under uncultured bacterium. RNAcentral's name for it is "partial 16S ribosomal RNA". It matches the Rfam family "Bacterial small subunit ribosomal RNA", at positions 524 to 776 of the family's 1533-position model. The record is from RNAcentral.